AUUUAAAUAGUUUAAAAAAACAUUUUAUUUUCAAUAAAAAGAUGAAAAGUAUUUUUCUUUAAAUG
This 65-nucleotide transfer RNA is filed under the name Potamometra berezowskii. Its description in RNAcentral is "tRNA-Glu". Lineage: Eukaryota; Metazoa; Arthropoda; Insecta; Hemiptera; Gerridae. The record is from RNAcentral. RNAcentral also lists the same sequence under 3 other names.